AGAACGAACGCUGGCAGCGUGGAUAAGACAUGCAAGUCGAGCGCUGGUUACAGGGUAGCAAUAUUCUGUAAUCGGAGCGGCGCAAGGGUGCGUAACACGUGGGUAAUCUGCCAUGAAGUUUGGGAUAACUUGCUGAAAGGCGAGCUAAUACCGGAUGUGAAAACUGGGAGGCAUCUCCUGAUCGUUAAAGCUGGGGACCGUAAGGCCUGGCGCUUUUUGAUGAACCCGCGGCCUAUCAGCUAGUUGGUGAGGUAACGGCCCACCAAGGCUAAGACGGGUAGCUGGUCUGAGAGGACGACCAGCCACACUGGAACUGAGACACGGUCCAGACACCUACGGGUGGCAGCAGUCGAGAAUUUUUCACAAUGGGCGCAAGCCUGAUGGAGCGACGCCGCGUGGGGGAUGAACGGCUUCGGCCCGUAAACCCCUGUCAUUCGCGAUCAAACGCUGUAAUUUAAAAGAUGACAGCCUGAUAGUAGCGGAAGAGGAAGGGACGGCUAACUCUGUGCCAGCAGCCGCGGUAAUACAGAGGUCCCGAGCGUUGUUCGGAUUCACUGGGCGUAAAGGGUGCGUAGGUGGCGAGGUAAGUCGGAUGUGAAAGCUCGGAGCUCAACUCCGAAAUGGCAUUGGAAACUACCUUGCUUGAGGGUUGGAGGGGGGACUGGAAUUCUCGGUGUAGCAGUGAAAUGCGUAGAUAUCGAGAGGAACACCAGUGGCGAAGGCGAGUCCCUGGACAACACCUGACACUGAGGCACGAAAGCUAGGGGAGCAAACAGGAUUAGAUACCCUGGUAGUCCUAGCCGUAAACGGUGCAUGCUUGCUGUAAAAGGAAUCGACCCCUUUUGUGGCGGAGCCAACGCGUUAAGCAUGCCGCCUGGGAAGUACGGUCGCAAGAUUAAA
Molecule: ribosomal RNA, 900 nt
Filed under: uncultured bacterium
Lineage: Bacteria
Description: bacterial SSU rRNA
Rfam family: Bacterial small subunit ribosomal RNA
Source: RNAcentral